AGGAAUAUUGGACAAUGGGUUAGCGCCUGAUCCAGCCAUCCCGCGUGAAGGACGACGGCCCUAUGGGUUGUAAACUUCUUUUGUACAGGGAUAAACCUACCCUCGUGAGGGUAGCUGAAGGUACUGUACGAAUAAGCACCGGCUAACUCCGUGCCAG
This 157-nucleotide ribosomal RNA is filed under the name uncultured bacterium. RNAcentral describes it as "partial 16S rRNA". It matches the Rfam family "Bacterial small subunit ribosomal RNA", at positions 357 to 511 of the family's 1533-position model. The record is from RNAcentral.